UGAGUACCAGUCAGUUCAGGGUGCUCUGUUUUAUUUCUUUGGGAUUGUAUGGAGAGGAAACUGUUAUACACAAAGGUCUUGGCCUUCAGAAGCAAGGCAGUAUGCUGGAUAGUGAGGCAUGGAGCAAGCUAGGACUCCUGAAGAAGAGCGUGGAUUCAGUCAUCAGAGACUGAAUUUAGAGGUGUUUCUUCCUCAUUAAGAAAUUAAAGUGCUGGACAGUGCA
This is a long non-coding RNA of Peromyscus eremicus (cactus mouse), 223 nucleotides long. RefSeq lists it as uncharacterized. Lineage: Eukaryota; Metazoa; Chordata; Mammalia; Rodentia; Cricetidae. The transcript is spliced from 2 exons. The record is from RefSeq and is a predicted model, not a curated record.